ACGUAGGGGCCAAGCGUUGUCCGGAUUCAUUGGGCGUAAAGAGCUCGUAGGCGGUUCAGUUAGUCGGGUGUGAAAUCUCCGGGCUCAACCCGGAGGGGCCACCCGAUACUGCUGUGACUUGAGUCCGGUAGGGGAGUGGGGAAUUCCUGGUGUAGCGGUGAAAUGCGCAGAUAUCAGGAAGAACACCCGUGGCUAAGGCGGCUCUCUAGUACGGUACUGACGCUGAGACGCGAAAGCGUGGGGAGCGAACAGGA
This 254-nucleotide ribosomal RNA is filed under the name uncultured prokaryote. RNAcentral's name for it is "partial 16S ribosomal RNA". It matches the Rfam family "Bacterial small subunit ribosomal RNA", at positions 525 to 777 of the family's 1533-position model. The record is from RNAcentral.